UCUCUCGUAUUUUUCUCUCUCAUGUUUUAAUUAAUUGUGUGUAGAAAGUAAAAGUACGGAUUAAGAGGAGAAGAUCAGUAUGAAGGUGAAGACCAGUUCUCUCUUUUUAAUUAUAUAUCAUCUUUCUCUGUUUGGCAUUGUUUUUUAGUGUGCAUGGAUACAUUUCUCGUGUGUGUAUAUCAAAUAUAUACAUGUGUGAGUAAUUGAUCGAUGGGAUGAAUAUAUUAAUAGAUAAAGGGGUGGAAAUGAAAAGAAAAGGGAUGUGCCUGGCUCCCUGUAUGCCACAUGUAG
This 291-nucleotide long non-coding RNA is filed under the name Panax ginseng (ginseng). RNAcentral describes it as "long non-coding RNA (PGIN_LNC019045)". Lineage: Eukaryota; Viridiplantae; Streptophyta; Magnoliopsida; Apiales; Araliaceae. The record is from RNAcentral.